CAUAACCGCAUCAGGUCUC
Molecule: small nuclear RNA, 19 nt
Filed under: Arabidopsis thaliana (thale cress)
Lineage: Eukaryota; Viridiplantae; Streptophyta; Magnoliopsida; Brassicales; Brassicaceae
Description: snRNA_15846
Source: RNAcentral